AUGCUGGAGGUAUCAGAAGUGCGAAUGCUGACAUAAGUAACGAUAAAGCGGGUGAAAAGCCCGCUCGCCGGAAGACCAAGGGUUCCUGUCCAACGUUAAUCGGGGCAGGGUGAGUCGACCCCUAAGGCGAGGCCGAAAGGCGUAGUCGAUGGGAAACAGGUUAAUAUUCCUGUACUUGGUGUUACUGCGAAGGGGGGACGGAGAAGGCUAUGUUGGCCGGGCGACGGUUGUCCCGGUUUAAGCGUGUAGGCUGGUUUUCCAGGCAAAUCCGGAAAAUCAAGGCUGAGGCGUGAUGACGAGGCACUACGGUGCUGAAGCAACAAAUGCCCUGCUUCCAGGAAAAGCCUCUAAGCAUCAGGUAACAUCAAAUCGUACCCCAAACCGACACAGGUGGUCAGGUAGAGAAUACCAAGGCGCUUGAGAGAACUCGGGUGAAGGAACUAGGCAAAAUGGUGCCGUAACUUCGGGAGAAGGCACGCUGAUAUGUAGGUGAAGUCCCUCGCGGAUGGAGCUGAAAUCAGUCGAAGAUACCAGCUGGCUGCAACUGUUUAUUAAAAACACAGCACUGUGCAAACACGAAAGUGGACGUAUACGGUGUGACGCCUGCCCGGUGCCGGAAGGUUAAUUGAUGGGGUUAGCGCAAGCGAAGCUCUUGAUCGAAGCCCCGGUAAACGGCGGCCGUAACUAUAACGGUCCUAAGGUAGCGAAAUUCCUUGUCGGGUAAGUUCCGACCUGCACGAAUGGCGUAAUGAUGGCCAGGCUGUCUCCACCCGAGACUCAGUGAAAUUGAACUCGCUGUGAAGAUGCAGUGUACCCGCGGCAAGACGGAAAGACCCCGUGAACCUUUACUAUAGCUUGACACUGAACAUUGAGCCUUGAUGUGUAGGAUAGGUGGGAGGCUUUGAAGUGUGGACGCCAGUCUGCAUGGAGCCGACCUUGAAAUACCACCCUUUAAUGUUUGAUGUUCUAACGUUGACCCGUAAUCCGGGUUGCGGACAGUGUCUGGUGGGUAGUUUGACUGGGGCGGUCUCCUCCUAAAGAGUAACGGAGGAGCACGAAGGUUGGCUAAUCCUGGUCGGACAUCAGGAGGUUAGUGCAAUGGCAUAAGCCAGCUUGACUGCGAGCGUGACGGCGCGAGCAGGUGCGAAAGCAGGUCAUAGUGAUCCGGUGGUUCUGAAUGGAAGGGCCAUCGCUCAACGGAUAAAAGGUACUCCGGGGAUAACAGGCUGAUACCGCCCAAGAGUUCAUAUCGACGGCGGUGUUUGGCACCUCGAUGUCGGCUCAUCACAUCCUGGGGCUGAAGUAGGUCCCAAGGGUAUGGCUGUUCGCCAUUUAAAGUGGUACGCGAGCUGGGUUUAGAACGUCGUGAGACAGUUCGGUCCCUAUCUGCCGUGGGCGCUGGAGAACUGAGGGGGGCUGCUCCUAGUACGAGAGGACCGGAGUGGACGCAUCACUGGUGUUCGGGUUGUCAUGCCAAUGGCACUGCCCGGUAGCUAAAUGCGGAAGAGAUAAGUGCUGAAAGCAUCUAAGCACGAAACUUGCCCCGAGAUGAGUUCUCCCUGACUCCUUGAGAGUCCUGAAGGAACGUUGAAGACGACGACGUUGAUAGGCCGGAUGUGUAAGCGCAGCGAUGCGUUGAGCUAACCGGUACUAAUGAACCGUGAGGCUUAACCUU
Molecule: ribosomal RNA, 1675 nt
Filed under: Escherichia coli
Lineage: Bacteria; Pseudomonadati; Pseudomonadota; Gammaproteobacteria; Enterobacterales; Enterobacteriaceae
Description: bacterial LSU rRNA
Rfam family: Bacterial large subunit ribosomal RNA
Source: RNAcentral